This 469-nucleotide ribosomal RNA is filed under the name uncultured Acidobacteriota bacterium. RNAcentral's name for it is "bacterial SSU rRNA". It matches the Rfam family "Bacterial small subunit ribosomal RNA", at positions 12 to 479 of the family's 1533-position model. The record is from RNAcentral. Lineage: Bacteria; Pseudomonadati; Acidobacteriota.
UUUGAUCCUGGCUCAGAGCGAACGCUGGCGGCGUGCUUAACACAUGCAAGUCGAGUGCGCGGUGCCGUAGCAAUACGGUACUGGCGCACGGCGCACGGGUGCGUAACACGUGGGUAAUCUGCCCUCUGAUGGGGAAUAACCCGCCGAAAGGCGGGCUAAUACCGCAUAACAUUCCGGGAACUCCGGUUCUUGGAUUCAAAGGCGUAAGUCGUCGGAGGAGGAGCCCGCGCACGAUUAGCUAGUUGGUGGGGUAAUGGCCUACCAAGGCUAUGAUCGUUAGCUGGUCUGAGAGGAUGGCCAGCCACACUGGAACUGAGACACGGUCCAGACUCCUACGGGAGGCAGCAGUGGGGAAUCUUGCACAAUGGGCGAAAGCCUGAUGCAGCGACGCCGCGUGGGGGAUGAAGCUUCUCGGAGUGUAAACCCCUUUCGACCGGGACGAAUACCUCGCAAGAGGGGUGACGGUACC